GACGAACGCUGGCGGCGUGCCUAACACAUGCAAGUCGAACGGGUCUGCCCUGUUUUUUGCGGGGUGGGUCAGUGGCGAACGGGUGAGUAACACGUGAGUAACCUGCCCCUCACUUCUGGAUAACCGCUUGAAAGGGUGGCUAAUACGGGGUGUUCUGGCUGUGCCGCAUGGUGUGGCUGGGAAAGAUUCACUUUUGUGGUGUUUUGGUGGGGGAUGGGCUCGCGGCCUAUCAGCUUGUUGGUGGGGUGAUGGCCUGCCAAGGCUUUGACGGGUAGCCGGCCUGAGAGGGUGGGCGGUCACACUGGGACUGAGAUACGGCCCAGACUCCUGCGGGAGGCAGCAGUGGGGGGUAUUGCACAAUGGGCGGAAGCCUGAUGCAGCGACGUCGCGUGAGGGAUGGAGGCCUUCGGGUUGUGAACCUCUUUCGCCGGUGAAGAAGGUCCUGCUCUUUGUGGUGGGGUUGACGGUAGCCGGGUUAUGAAGCGCCGGCUAACUACGUG
Molecule: ribosomal RNA, 500 nt
Filed under: uncultured bacterium
Lineage: Bacteria
Description: partial 16S ribosomal RNA
Rfam family: Bacterial small subunit ribosomal RNA
Source: RNAcentral